AACGAACGCUGGCGGCAGGCCUACCACUGGCAAGUCGAGGGAACCCUUCGGGGGAGGGGGCGAAGGGGGGGUUAACGGGUGGGAAGGUGCCCUUUUUUGGGGAAUGGCCUGGGGAAAUGGAGAGUAAACCGGAAAAGGCCCUUGGGGGGAAAGAUUUAUCGGAGAAGGAUCGGCCCGCGUUGGAUUAGGUAGUUGGUGGGGUAAUGGCCAACCAAGCCGACGAUCCAUAGCUGGUUUGAGAGGAUGAUCAGCCACACUGGGACUGAGACACGGCCCAGACUCCUACGGGAGGCAGCAGUGGGGAAUCUUAGACAAUGGGGGCAACCCUGAUCUAGCCAUGCCGCGUGAGUGAUGAAGGCCUUAGGGUUGUAAAGCUCUUUCAGCUGGGAAGAUAAUGACGGUACCAGCAGAAGAAGCCCCGGCUAACUCCGUG
Molecule: ribosomal RNA, 433 nt
Filed under: uncultured bacterium
Lineage: Bacteria
Description: partial 16S ribosomal RNA
Rfam family: Bacterial small subunit ribosomal RNA
Source: RNAcentral